UAGCGUGGACUUCAUCAAAACUAAGGGAUCAUUUCUAUAGCUCAUAGCUAGAGAAGUUUCUCUGUGUAGAGUAUAGAAACCACAAGGAUGAGACAUAGUGCUCCCUCAUGAGCAUGAAGCUGGCUCUUGGUGUUGCUUUUUUUUGCAACUGCCUUUUGCCAUUGAUGAUCACUCUUCUCUUCAUUUGGAGGACUUAGAGGGAGGGAACACAGUCUGAGUGGU
Nannospalax galili (Upper Galilee mountains blind mole rat) is the source of this 222-nucleotide small nucleolar RNA. Its record names the gene U3. It matches the Rfam family "Small nucleolar RNA U3". Rfam says of the family: Small nucleolar RNAs (snoRNAs) are involved in the processing and modification of rRNA in the nucleolus. There are two main classes of snoRNAs: the box C/D class, and the box H/ACA class. The record is from Ensembl. NCBI's taxonomy places the organism in Eukaryota, Metazoa, Chordata, Mammalia, Rodentia, Spalacidae.